Molecule: long non-coding RNA, 3570 nt
Organism: Apis cerana (Asiatic honeybee)
Lineage: Eukaryota; Metazoa; Arthropoda; Insecta; Hymenoptera; Apidae
Source: RefSeq, a predicted model, not a curated record
UUACCAAAAAUAUCCCUUUGCGUAAAUGUAAAAUUCCCCAGGCGGAACUAGAAUGAAGUCAUGCACAGAUCGACAUAACGGCGUCGUUUCUAUGACACCUUGAUCUUUUCUGCGCCAGUGCCAAGUGGAGCGUCUAUAUUUACCAGAGACACGCGAGCACGCGCGCGCCGUAGCAAGUUUCUGCACGCUAGUGGAUAAUGUUGGUGGAUUAAAUAAACCGUCGCAUUAAAUAGCAUCGUUGCAUUUCGCUCUUUCGUGGCACGAGGACUGUCCGGCAAAUAGGUCGACCACGGGCAUUCAAUCUUGGAAGAACGAAUUGGAUAGAAUUGGUACCGUAUCGUCAACAAUUUUUCUUUCGGUCAACGGACACCCAUUUUAUAUUUAGAACGGGUAUGGUCGCACGGUAACUUUUCGUUACGCCGGUUGUUUUGUCUGAAAUUCGCGUGACGCAAGCGCAUUAUUCGCGCGUGUUUCUGCCAUUCCUGCAUCGACUGAGCGAUAACUCGAUAAUAUCGUUAUGACUUCGCUGUUACCGAGAUAUUACUGGAAGAUUGAUCGAUAAAAAGAGAAAUUUACGGUGCAUUUCAAUGCAGGACAUUUCUUUAUAAUGCGAUGAAAAAUGUACUGUUCCCAUAUAACAUGUUAAAUUAGAUAUGUUUUUCUCUUAAACGUAAACGUUUAUCGAUAUGGAAAAUUAAUGCUGAAAUAUACAGCUGUCUCUUACUGAUGAUUUACUGCCAUGUCUGGAUCAGAAAUAUAACAUUGGUACGUCAUAUCGAUUAUUCUGUUUUAAAAUUUAAUCUCGUAUGUAGAAUAAUAUUUUUAUUUAUCAAUUUAACGAGCAAUUGUAUAUUAUAUAUUAUAUUAAAAAUAUUACACAAAUAUAGUACGCAUUGCAAAAAAAAAAAAUAAAUUUUAAAAAAUAAGUAUUAAAUGUUCACAUGAAUUUAAAUUAAAUUAUGCUCGUUGCAUUGUAAUUCUGUCAUAUUCACGUACACAAAAUUUUACUUUGUUGUAUACCGGAUUGUAUCAUUACCAUCUGAAACGACAGAAUUCUCUUGCAAACAUGUUUUACUUUGUUUGUUUCAAAGCGGACAAACAUCUACACAAAUAGAAUUUCGACCAGCAAAAGGAUGACGUGUAGUAAGAGAGGUUAUAGCUAGGGAUUGUUCACCCCAUAGUUUUGACCGCUAUAGAGCUUAUGAUGGUGUUGCAACGCCAGACAUCUAAGGGAAUCAGAGUUGUUAUUGGAAACGUUGUCACGGGGAUGCUGUCCCUCGUGUGAUCAAAAUUCUAUUUGAGAUGUUUCUGGGGAUGUCUCCGAGGUCAUCACGAGUCUCGUCAAUUUUGCUUUGAUGUUACGGUUGUUAGAAAUUUGCAUUAAACUAGUUAAUUAUUAAAUCAAACUUGACUAAUUAAAUUCACGUCAUAUUUGAUUUAUACAUGAUACCAACGAACAAAAUAGGAUAUAAGAUGUGUCAUAUUCUGUUAGACAUAACUUUGUAUAAGGUAAUUUCCAUUUUUAAAUUUAUUAUCGUGAAAAUAACUCUCAUUUUUGCAGCAUGUCAAUAACUUUAUCUAAUUUAAUUUAAUAAUAACCCAAGCCAAAUAAAUUUUAAAUAUAACGCAUAACUUUUGAACAAUAAUAAUUGGAAAGCUCAUAAUUUCUCGUUCAACAAGGAAGAUAAAUUCGAGAAGAUAAAUUAAUUGUCGUGGAAGAAUACAAGAGUUUCGAUGAAAGAAGUCGGUAAAGUGAGAGAGAGGGGCGAGAGAGUGGGAAAGGAAGAAGGGAAGAAUAGAAAUUGAUCGAGGAUGCUCCGUGCACUUCCAUCCUCCGCACUCCUCGCUCGAGGGCUUUUUAUUACAAGCUCUAUUGUAAAAAAAAACCACGGCCAGUCGUAAUAAAUAUUUUACGUUCUCGCAAUCGUUUUACUGCAUUGGGAUAUCCUGAACGUGAACCACCCGCGGGAUUUCGGCCUUCUUUUGCCUUCCAAUCGCGCAUCCCUUUCGAAGAAUGAGCGCCUAUAAUCGACAAUCUUCGUGUCGCCCUCAAAUAGAUAUUUUCGAGGAACUUUCUGGUCGUCCAAAAAAAAAAAUUGCAAGACGUCAUUCGGUUUGCUAACAUUUAAAUUUAGAAUUCAGGUUUUCGUGGCCGUAAAUAAAUAAAGAUUCGUAUUUUUUUAUACCGGUCUUCAUAAAUCUCGCAAAUUGUCGAAGCAUUUGUGUCGCCAUUUCUGCGUCAUCUUGCACAUAAAAAUAAACCGUCGAACGCGUACGUUAGCACGAAAGAUCGUGAAAAAUUUAACUUUCCUUUACUCUCGAGAGUCGUUCAAGUUAGAAUGUUGCAACCGAUCUCUGGUAUCGAUUGGAUUUAAGAAUUCAAUCGUUAAAUUUAAACAGUUAAGUAAGUAAAUCUCCUUGGAAACUUUAGAGAGACCAUUUCUUUUUCAUUCAAAAUAAAUGUAAUAACACGAACGUGAGAUCAUUUCGCUAAAUUGUACCUAUAGAAAGAAUAUAUUAAAAAUAAAGUAUAAAAUUUUAUAAUUUUAUACUUCAAUAAUACGAUCAUUGCUUCGUGAAUAUAUUAUAGCAAGAGAAUACGUUCUGACUGCAACAUAAAUAUAUAUAUAUAUAUUUCAAUGAAAAAAAGCUAUAUUAUAUACAUUUAACACAUCCUGUAUAGAUAGAAAAUCCACAUCAUUUGUAAAAUAAAAUACCACUUCUACUUCGUUAAAGAAAUUAUAGCGAAGAAUUUCUUCAAUUCGGAUUUUUUAAAUUUUUCCCAUUUUUUACUUAGAAUAAUUUCCAUCGAAAUUAAACGUGCGUGUGUCCAUGACGAAGUUAAUAAAUCGAGAAAUCGAGCACGAAGGUUUUUAUCGUCGGACGAGUCCAUUUUCUUUCUUGCGCGUGAACAUUUUCUGUGGCGCUGUUCGCGUCGAUCGAGGCGAGAAGUAUGCGUGUACAAGAGUGUCGACUCGAUGCCAACUAACGGGAUCUGUAGUGAUCAAGUGGGUCAGACGAACUCGAUCCCGACUCCAGUCCCUUCGUCGAUCAGCCAUCUCGUCACGCGGAUAUUUCAAGGUAAAAGAAAAUUGUUUCGUUCCCGUGUAAACCGUACGCGUGAAAAUAUCAUUGUCAACGUUCUUUUCGAAAAAUGUUCGUAUCGUAAUAAAAUUCGAUAUUUUUCUGGUGACAAAGUUUGAAAUUGAUAUAACGUGUGAAUUUUUUGUCUCGGGUGAUAGAGCGUCUGGAUAUCGUUAUUUUGAAGGUACUUGUCAAUUAUUAGAAGAUUAUCGAGAGAUGUCAGGUAAUUACAUCAUCGCGAGCGGCUGAUUCCUUAAUUGCAGACGAAGGAAGGAAGGAAGGAAGGAACGAACCGUGAAUCUUCGAAGAAAAUUAAUCUUGACGAAACUGAAAUUGGGAAAACACUGCAUAAAUUUUUUGCGCCUCUUAUUUUUCUUCUUCUUCUUCUUCCUCCUUGGAGAAAAAUUUAUCAAAGAAACAAAUAAGUCGUAAUAUCGAAUAAUAAUAAUAAUCAACUUUGCAGAGCUGGAACAAUCUUGGGACAAA